AGAGACAGUCACACACACAGAGAGAGAGAGAGACAUGUUCUCUGACCGGGAUAUACAACUACUACUGACCACACACGGCAUACACCAUGGACUCUGACUCUUUGGACCGCUGCAUCCAGACUGCUCUCUCAGCCCUCUACCCGCCCUUCCAGGCCACAUCCCCGACUGUCCUCUGUCAGGUGCUCAGCGUGGUGGAGAGCUGCUACAGAGGAGACGGCUUUCGCUACCUCAUCCACUUCCUGCUGCCUGCAAAGCAAUUCUUAACAGACCUCCAGCAAAAUGCCUGUUUGCAGUACUGUGGUCAGUUUUUUCGUCAUGAAGGCUGGCCUCUGUGCGUCCAUGAGAAGGUAGUUGUUCAGCUCUGUCCUCUGGACCAGCGCCUUCUUCGUCCAGGAGACUUCUACCUGCUGGUUUCUCCUGCCGCUGCUGUUCCUCCUCGUCCCCUCCGAGCACACAGUGCCUCCUGCAGGAGAGCCACGACCUCCUCCCCCCGCCUGCUCCUGUGUAGCGCGUUCGCCGGCAGCCGGCAUGUGGAGCAGCAAGAGGUGUCGGAGGUAGCCCUGCGGUCCCUCUUCAGCAUGGCCUGGCUGGACUCGGUCAACAGGGACAGGGAGCAGCGAGGAGCGCCGAGGCUGGAGUGCUGCCUCCUCUCUGCCCACGGAGACGUCUUCAGGUUCCCCUGGGAGGACCUGGUCCACCCACAGUUCAUCAGCCGGCCCCAUACCUCCCUGAAGGAGGAGAAGGAGUCGUCCAUUAAGGAUGGAGAUGGUUUGAUGAAUACAUUGCAUGGUCCAGGAAGAGAUACUAACUCCUCAAGACAGGAAGUAAAGCUCCUCCAAUCAGCAGCGAGCACUGAGGGCGAGGACUCUGAGGGCGAGUACGUAGAGCUGACGGAGCUGCCUCGCUUCUCCCCACAGAAAGGCUCCUUAACCCAGUCCAUCAGUCUGCAGCACCAAGCCAGGACCAGCACACACACUGCUGCACACACACCUGGCCACACACACUCUGCUGCUGCACACACACCUUUCAACAUUCACACACACUCUGUGGCUACACACACACCUCACACACACUCCUCCUGGCCUUGUGUGGAGGUCAGCUCACACACCACGGAUUGCUCCAGGCUCAUCGAGGAGAACCUGAUCCAGGGCUCAUGUGGACCUGUCAUCCUCACCCCAAUCUCCCCCACCUCCUCUGCUCCACCUAAAGCUGUGGGAACCUCCAGCUGGACGUCACAGGAGCAAAUAGAAGGUACGGAUUCAGGCGUAAGUCUGACGUUGAACACUGAACCUGAAAGCAGCACAGAACAGAGUGAGGAGGAGAAAGAGGGAACCAGGGAGGAGAGAGAGCUGUUGAAGAGCCAGAAAGAGAAGAUUAAAAUAUUAGCGUCAGAUGGUGAAGAUGGGGAAAAGGAAGAAGAACAGCUGGAGGAUGGAGAGUGUAGGAGGGAUGAAUUUUUACUUAAUGAAAGGGAUGAGAAAGAGAAAAAGUUGGACGAGGUAGAAAUAGAAGAAAAGGUUCAGGUUACAGUGGAGCAGCAGAGUCAAGAGAGGAGGGAUGAGAAGCUGGUGAUGAAAGAAGAUGAGAGAGGGGAAGAGACGCACUGUGAGGACUCUUAUUCUGAAAACAAUACACAACCAAACCACUCUGUGGACUCUUAUUCUGAAAACAAUACACAACACAAGCACUGUGAGGACUCUUAUUCUGAAAACAAUACACAACCAAACCACUCUGUGGACUCUUAUUCUGAAAACAAUACACAACCAAACCACUCUGUGGACUCUUAUUCUGAAAACAAUACACAACACAAGCACUGUGAGGACUCUUAUUCUGAAAACAAUACACAACCAAACCACUCUGAGGACUCUUAUUCUGAAAACAAUACACAACCAAACCACUCUGUGGACUCUUAUUCUGAAAACAACACACUGCCAAUGGAUCCAGACUCACUUUUGUGUGAACCUGAGAAGUCUGAAGAAGGACUGGAACAUCCAGAAGAAAUGAACAAGAAGGGGGAGGAAGAAGAGAUCAGAUCUGAGGAGGUUGGUGGAACAAGAUCUUCAGAGCUUCAGACUGAAGACUCCUCAGACCUCAGCAGACCUCCGGGCCAUCUCGUCCCCCUGUCUACUGGUCCCAGUCCAACAGAACCCGAACCACAGCUGGACCCAUCAGCUGCUACCACAGUCCCAGUACGGCUCACCCAGUCCUCCCAGUUCAGCUUCUACUCUGUGCUGCUACGCUCUGGAGCGCUCUGUCUGCCUGGGACCAGAGACCGGUGUGGUCGAGCUCUGCUGACGGUCUGCAGCAGGAGCUCCGUGUGGUCCGACCCCGAUUGUGACGCCGCCGAGCUGCUGCGCCUCCUGCUCUACUACUCCUCCACCCUCAGGAAGGAGGUGGGAGCGUUGGGGCUGACGGUGCUGGUGGACGCCCGCAGAGCUGCUCCUGUCCCGGCCCUGUUCUCCGCCCUCAGGGCCCUGAAGGAAAAUGUCCACUCCGUCCUCCUGCUGGUCGACAAGGACUCGUCUCUGCGUCUGGACAAACCUGCAGCCAUGCAGGUGGAGGUGGUGUUCUCUCUGAAGUCUCUUCAGAAAAAAGUGGAUCUCCAGCAGCUUCCUGCAAAGUUUGGAGGUUCCUUCAGCUUCAGUCAGAGCAGCUGGCUCUGCUUCAGAUCACGAGUGGAGCAGCUGACCAAUCAGUGUGAAGACGUCAUCAAGCUGCUGCAGAAAACCAUCAACAUCCUGCAGGACACACGUUUACCUGUUGCAGCAGAGGGGGCCGAGCUGCUGUUGUCCAGGUACCAGGAAGUGAUGCGCAACAUCCUCGAAGACACCCGAUUGGUGCAGCUGCAGCAGGAGGGCGGGGCCUCGCUGUCCGGUCUCCGCAGAGAGGGCGGCGGCGUCCUCGGCGUGAGCGCGGCGGUGGAGACGGCGUCCGCGCUGUACGACAGGGUGGACGAGCUGCUGCACCGUCUGGUGACUCUGUCCAACUCCAGGACUCAGGAGCUGCAAUUCAUUCUGGACUUCAGGAGCCUGGAGACGGGCUUCACCGAGGUGAGCUUGUGGCUGCAGGACGUCGGUGAAGUUGUUCUCAAGAGUCUGAAUGAAGCAGAAGAUUCUCUGGAGCUCCUCAAGAAGAAACAACUGGACUUCAAAGAGUUUCACACAACUGCAUAUGAGCGCUGCAGACGAGGGGAGGAGUUGCUGAGUCAUCUGGAUCGUUGGGGUCACAUGAGGUCAGCUGACCUGCACGCCUACGAGGUCAAAGUUCACUCUUUCUGGGCUCAGCUCCAGGACUUCUCCCAGCGGGUCAACGCCGCGGGUCAGAACCUGGAGCGGGCUGUCGACAUGUACAGCUUCCUAGACCAGGCCUAUGGCUGGGCGUUGGAGGGAAUGCGUCACCAAGCUGCCAUCAGUAUGGAGGACUGCACGCUGCCGGACAAAUGCCAGUCUGUGAUUGGCUGCCUGGAGGACUACCGGCGCCAGCACCCGCUGAUCCCAGACCAGCGCUUCCAGGAGGUGAAGGCGGCGGCGGGCGAGCUGCGGGGGGAGCGAGGCCUCCAUCAGUGCAGCUUCGCCUGGGCCAAGUGUCAGGAGACCAGGAAGAUGUUCGACAGGAAGAUGGAGGCGGCGCUCAGGACGCGGGACUCCGCCCAUAGGCUGCACUCUGACUCAGCCCACAGCGGAAGCUCCACCUCCUCUCGGAGAACGCCGUCAGGACUCUGGGGGCUCCAUGAGACCUCCUCGAAAUCCUGCCCCCUAGAGGAGGACAACAACACCUCCUCCUCCUCCCCCCUGCUCACCUCCUCCCCCGUCACCCACCAGCACACCCCCGUCCUCCAGCGUCUGCUCCACAGCGUCUCCUUAGAGGAGGCAGCGGACCGGGUGAAGGUCUGCUCCUCCAGUCCCAGCCCCCCCCACCUCCACUCCUUCUCCUCCGGCAGACGGCAGCAGCUCAGGAAGACCCAGAGCUUCGACUGCCCCCCCGAGGCGCCCCGGUUCAGCCCGUGUCCUCGCGUCCUCAGAGGGAACACGGGCGUGUUGAUCCGCGGCCUGGAGGUCGGCAGCUCGGAGGCCUCCGACCGCGCGCUCUGCCCCAGGACGGCUGCUCGCGGCUGGGCAGCACAAGUGACCCCCGGGACCCCCAGAACCACCGGCGGCCCGCCAACAGACCCCCGGCCCAGAGGGAGUAAGCUGCGUCACGUGGUGGAGGAGAUGGUGACCACGGAGAGGGAGUACGUGCGCUCCCUGCGCUACACCCUCCAGCACUACUUCCCUGAGAUGGACCGGGCCGACCUGCCUCAGGACCUCCGGGGGAAGCGCUCUGUGGUCUUCGGGAACCUGGAGAAGCUUCUGGACUUCCACACUCAGUUCUUCCUCAGGGAGCUGGAGGCCUGCUGGAGGCACCCUCUGAGGGUCCCCCACUGCUUCCUCCGACAUCAGGAGCAGUUCGGUCUGUACGCUCUGUACAGCAAGAACAAACCAAAGUCUGACGCUCUGCUGGCCAACCACGGGAACUCCUUCUUCAGGAGGAAGCAGGUGGAGCUGGGUGAUAAGAUGGACCUGUCGUCCUACCUGUUGAAGCCGGUGCAGAGGAUGAGUAAAUACGCUCUCCUGCUAACUGACCUCAUCAAGGAGGUGGGCGGAGCUCAGGAGGCGGAGCUUGCCGCACUGCAGGACGCCACCAACAUGGUCAAGUUCCAGCUUCGCCACGGCAAUGACCUGCUGGCAAUGGACGCCAUCCGAGACUGUGAUGUAAACCUGAAGGAGCAGGGUCAGCUGAUCCGUCAGGAUGAGUUCACUGUCUGGACCGGCAGGAGGAAAUGUCAGCGGCACAUCUUCCUGUUUGAGGAGCUUGUUCUCUUCAGUAAACCCAAGAAGAUGGAUGGAGGUCUGGACGUCUUCAUCUACAAGCACUCCUUCAAGACAGCAGAUGUGGGUCUGACAGAGUCCACGGGAGAUAACGGGCUACGGUUUGAGAUCUGGUUCAGAAGGAGGACGUCCAAGAACCAGACCUUCAUCCUUCAGGCCGCCACAUUGGAGGUGAAACACGCCUGGACCACCGGCAUCGCCCGGAUCCUGUGGACCCAGGCCACCAGGAACAAAGAGAUGCGUCUGAAGGAGAUGGUGUCGAUGGGAGUCGGGAACAAACCGUUUCUGGACAUCAAGCCGAGUGAUGCGGCCAUCAGCGACCGAGCUGUUCACUACAUCAUGAAGAGCCGAGGUGCCAGAACGCGGGCGUCCAUUGCCGUCUCUGGCUUCGAUCACUCGAACCCUUUUAAUGGAGGAGCGGUGACCUCUGACCCCAUAGCAUCAGGACCGUCUUCAUUCAGCCUGCUGGGGCCGCUCAACCUGCACAUGUACAGCCAGAACCUCCCCUCCUCUCCUGCUGCUGAAGGCUCCUUCAUUACCUCCUGUAUCGAGGAAGACGAGCAGGAGACCAGCAGCCAGCCCUCCAUGACCACAGAAAGUUCCAGCUCAUCGUCUCGCCGUCUCUCCGGCUCCACCGGCUCCGACAGCGGCUGCGUCUCCUCCAACCUUCAGGAGGUGCUGCCCGAGGAGCCGAGGCCCCCCCGCAAGCCUUCAUCCUCAUUUAACCAACAGCACCUCAACAGCCAGUACAGUUCACCUGUGAGUACAGACACCUUCUGGGAGUCGUAGUCCUGUGACGGACUACAACUUAAAGACACAGUGUCUAAAGCUGUCCUGGUCAUUGGUCCUUCCACCAUUGUGUGAUCAGCUGACCUGAUGGACAGGUGGUCCUGUCCCUGCUUCAGUCCUCUGGUUCUCUAGUGUUCAUGUGUUCCAGGUCAGUCAGUUGAGCUGAUCCAGGGUCAGUCUGAGGAGGUCCAGGACCAGCUGGAUGUACAUGUGUGUAAAUAAAUGUAUUUUCUUACUUGAGUAAUAAACAUUUUGUUCAAAACUGA
This is an RNA transcript of Cyclopterus lumpus (lumpfish), 5923 nucleotides long. It is a transcript of the gene named pleckstrin homology domain containing, family G (with RhoGef domain) member 4, with no coding region annotated. Lineage: Eukaryota; Metazoa; Chordata; Actinopteri; Perciformes; Cyclopteridae. The transcript is spliced from 24 exons. The record is from RefSeq and is a predicted model, not a curated record.